GUGGCGGGUGCUAUACAUGCAAGUCGAACGAACUCUGGUAUUGAUUGGUGCUUGCAUCAUGAUUUACAUUUGAGUGAGUGGCGAACUGGUGAGUAACACGUGGGAAACCUGCCCAGAAGCGGGGGAUAACACCUGGAAACAGAUGCUAAUACCGCAUAACAACUUGGACCGCAUGGUCCGAGCUUGAAAGAUGGCUUCGGCUAUCACUUUUGGAUGGUCCCGCGGCGUAUUAGCUAGAUGGUGGGGUAACGGCUCACCAUGGCAAUGAUACGUAGCCGACCUGAGAGGGUAAUCGGCCACAUUGGGACUGAGACACGGCCCAAACUCCUACGGGAGGCAGCAGUAGGGAAUCUUCCACAAUGGACGAAAGUCUGAUGGAGCAACGCCGCGUGAGUGAAGAAGGGUUUCGGCUCGUAAAACUCUGUUGUUAAAGAAGAACAUAUCUGAGAGUAACUGUUCAGGUAUUGACGGUAUUUAACCAGAAAGCCACGGCUAACUACGUGCCAGCAGCCGCGGUAAUACGUAGGUGGCAAGCGUUGUCCGGAUUUAUUGGGCGUAAAGCGAGCGCAGGCGGUUUUUUAAGUCUGAUGUGAAAGCCUUCGGCUCAACCGAAGAAGUGCAUCGGAAACUGGGAAACUUGAGUGCAGAAGAGGACAGUGGAACUCCAUGUGUAGCGGUGAAAUGCGUAGAUAUAUGGAAGAACACCAGUGGCGAAGGCGGCUGUCUGGUCUGUAACUGACGCUGAGGCUCGAAAGUAUGGGUAGCAAACAGGAUUAGAUACCCUGGUAGUCCAUACCGUAAACGAUGAAUGCUAAGUGUUGGAGGGUUUCCGCCCUUCAGUGCUGCAGCUAACGCAUUAAGCAUUCCGCCUGGGGAGUACGGCCGCAAGGCUGAAACUCAAAGGAAUUGACGGGGGCCCGCACAAGCGGUGGAGCAUGUGGUUUAAUUCGAAGCUACGCGAAGAACCUUACCAGGUCUUGACAUACUAUGCAAAUCUAAGAGAUUAGACGUUCCCUUCGGGGACAUGGAUACAGGUGGUGCAUGGUUGUCGUCAGCUCGUGUCGUGAGAUGUUGGGUUAAGUCCCGCAACGAGCGCAACCCUUAUUAUCAGUUGCCAGCAUUAAGUUGGGCACUCUGGUGAGACUGCCGGUGACAAACCGGAGGAAGGUGGGGAUGACGUCAAAUCAUCAUGCCCCUUAUGACCUGGGCUACACACGUGCUACAAUGGAUGGUACAACGAGUUGCGAACUCGCGAGAGUAAGCUAAUCUCUUAAAGCCAUUCUCAGUUCGGAUUGUAGGCUGCAACUCGCCUACAUGAAGUCGGAAUCGCUAGUAAUCGCGGAUCAGCAUGCCGCGGUGAAUACGUUCCCGGGCCUUGUACACACCGCCCGUCACACCAUGAGAGUUUGUAACACCCAAAGUCGGUGGGGUAACCUUUUAGGAACCAGCCGCCUAAGGUGGGACAGAUGAUUAGGGUGAAGUCGUAACAAGAGCCUGC
Molecule: ribosomal RNA, 1498 nt
Filed under: Lactiplantibacillus plantarum
Lineage: Bacteria; Bacillati; Bacillota; Bacilli; Lactobacillales; Lactobacillaceae
Description: bacterial SSU rRNA
Rfam family: Bacterial small subunit ribosomal RNA
Source: RNAcentral